RNAcentral lists this small RNA (932 nucleotides) under Pan troglodytes (chimpanzee). RNAcentral's name for it is "processed transcript". Lineage: Eukaryota; Metazoa; Chordata; Mammalia; Primates; Hominidae. The record is from RNAcentral.
AGAAGAGGCGAGAACGACCCCCGGACCGACCAAAGCCCGCGCGCCGCUGCAUCCCGCGUCCAGCACCUACGUCCCGCUGCCGUCGCCGCCGCCACCAUGCCCAAGAGAAAGGCUGAAGGGGAUGCUAAGGGAGAUAAAGCAAAGGUGAAGGACGAACCACAGAGAAGAUCCGCGAGGUUGUCUGCUGUAAGUGUAUGCUUUUGAAUUUUCGUGCUUGUCUCUGAAACUAAAAAACAUCAAAAAACAAUUCCCUUUGCUUCCAUGAAUUAUGAAACCUGCUCCUCCAAAGCCAGAGCCCAAGCCUAAAAAGGCCCCUGCAAAGAAGGGAGAGAAGGUACCCAAAGGGAAAAAGGGAAAAGCUGAUGCUGGCAAGGAGGGGAAUAACCCUGCAGAAAAUGGAGAUGCCAAAACAGACCAGGCACAGAAAGCUGAAGGUGCUGGAGAUGCCAAGUGAAGUGUGUGCAUUUUUGAUAACUGUGUACUUCUGGUGACUGUACAGUUUGAAAUACUAUUUUUUAUCAAGUUUUAUAAAAAUGCAGAAUUUUGUUUUACUUUUUUUUUUUUUUUUAAAGCUAUGUUGUUAGCACACAGAACACUUCAUUGUUGUUUUUGGGGGAAGGGGCAUAUGUCACUAAUAGAAUGUCUCCAAAGCUGGAUUGAUGUGGAGAAAACACCUUUCCCUUCUAGUUUUGAGAGACUUCCUCUUGGCUCCCAGGAGGAGUGAUUCCCUGACUUUGACACACAUGGCCACCUUGGCACAAAAGCCUUGUGGUAUAGAAAAACAAAUUUGUUUUUAUGUCCUCUUCUCCCUUUCCAUCUUUCAGCAUACACUUAACUCCCUUAAGCCCAGACAUCUGUUGGGACCUGACCCCUAGUCAUUGGUUACCAGUGUGUCAGGCAAUCUGGACUUUCCAGUGAUGCCACUGAGAUGG